CGGGACUGGCGGGGCUCGAACCCGCAGCUUCCGCCU
RNAcentral lists this transfer RNA (36 nucleotides) under Streptocarpus meyeri. RNAcentral's name for it is "partial tRNA-Asp". The record is from RNAcentral. Lineage: Eukaryota; Viridiplantae; Streptophyta; Magnoliopsida; Lamiales; Gesneriaceae.